Non-coding RNA from Camelina sativa (false flax), 368 nucleotides. NCBI's taxonomy places the organism in Eukaryota, Viridiplantae, Streptophyta, Magnoliopsida, Brassicales, Brassicaceae. The record is from RefSeq and is a predicted model, not a curated record.
CCUUGAUCCUGCAGUGGAGGUUUAGAAUUGCUCUGUGACUCCGUAAAGAUUCAUAAAGUUAACAUCAACUUCCCUAAUGAAUCAGAUAUCUUGACAAUGAAGGAUUUGCUUUCAUGGGUUCGUACCAAUCUGAUCAAGGAAAGACCUGAAAUGUUCAUGAAAGGCGAUACUGUGAGGCCUGGAGUUCUCGUGCUGGUUAACGACUGCGACUGGGAGCUUAGCGGCCAGCUCGAUACAACAUUAGAAGAUAAAGAUGUUGUAGUCUUCAUUUCUACUCUGCACGGUGAAUGAAAUAUUGAUAUUAUUAUUAAGCCAGCAAUCAUUCAGAAUGAUUCAUUCUGCUCUUUUCCAACAACUUGUGAUGAACA